This 484-nucleotide ribosomal RNA is filed under the name uncultured bacterium. RNAcentral's name for it is "partial 16S ribosomal RNA". It matches the Rfam family "Bacterial small subunit ribosomal RNA", at positions 30 to 507 of the family's 1533-position model. The record is from RNAcentral.
AUUGAACGCUGGCGGCAGGCCUAACACAUGCAAGUCGAGCGGAUGAAGGGAGCUUGCUCCUGGAUUCAGCGGCGGACGGGUGAGUAAUGCCUAGGAAUCUGCCUGGUAGUGGGGGAUAACGUCCGGAAACGGGCGCUAAUACCGCAUACGUCCUGAGGGAGAAAGUGGGGGAUCUUCGGACCUCACGCUACUAGAUGAGCCUAGGUCGGAUUAGCUAGUUGGUGGGGUAAAGGCCUACCAAGGCGACGAUCCGUAACUGGUCUGAGAGGAUGAUCAGUCACACUGGAACUGAGACACGGUCCAGACUCCUACGGGAGGCAGCAGUGGGGAAUAUUGGACAAUGGGCGAAAGCCUGAUCCAGCCAUGCCGCGUGUGUGAAGAAGGUCUUCGGAUUGUAAGGCACUUUAAGUUGGGAGGAAGGGCAGUAAGUUAAUACCUUGCUGUUUUGACGUUACCAACAGAAUAAGCACCGGCUAACUUCGUG